Molecule: ribosomal RNA, 428 nt
Filed under: uncultured prokaryote
Description: bacterial SSU rRNA
Rfam family: Bacterial small subunit ribosomal RNA
Source: RNAcentral
UGGGGAAUUUUGCGCAAUGGGCGAAAGCCUGACGAAGCAACGCCGCGUGAGUGAUGAAGGCUUUCGGGUCGUAAAGCUCUGUCAAGGGGAAAGAAGUGUAUUGUGGUUAAUACCCAUGAUGCUUGAAGGUACCCCUAAAGGAAGCACCGGCUAACUCCGUGCCAGCAGCCGCGGUAAUACGGGGGGUGCAAGCGUUGUUCGGAAUUAUUGGGCGUAGAGCGCGUGUCGGCGGUUUGUUAAGUCUGAUGUGAAAGCCCCGGGCUCAACCUGGGAAGUGCAUUGGAAACUGGCAGACUGAAAGACGGGGGAGGGUAGUGGAAUUCCUGGUGUAGGAGUGAAAUCCGUAGAUAUCAGGAGGAACACCGGUGGCGAAGGCGGCUGCCUGGACCGAUAUUGACGCUGAGACGCGAAAGCGUGGGUAGCAAACA